Molecule: ribosomal RNA, 253 nt
Filed under: uncultured bacterium
Lineage: Bacteria
Description: partial 16S ribosomal RNA
Rfam family: Bacterial small subunit ribosomal RNA
Source: RNAcentral
UACAGAGGUCCCAAGCGUUGUUCGGAUUCACUGGGCGUAAAGGGUGCGUAGGCGGUCGGGUAAGUCUGACGUGAAAUCUUCGAGCCUAACUCGGAAACUGCGUCGGAUACUAUUCGGCUAGAGGAAUGGAGGGGAGACUGGAAUACUUGGUGUAGCAGUGAAAUGCGUAGAUAUCAUGUGGAACCCCAGUGGCGAAGGCGAGUCUCUGGACAUUUCCUGUCGCUGAGGCACGAAAGCCAGGGGAGCAAACGGU